RNAcentral lists this transfer RNA (88 nucleotides) under Bacteroidales bacterium. RNAcentral's name for it is "tRNA-Ser". It matches the Rfam family "tRNA". Rfam says of the family: Transfer RNA (tRNA) molecules are approximately 80 nucleotides in length. Their secondary structure includes four short double-helical elements and three loops (D, anti-codon, and T loops). The record is from RNAcentral. RNAcentral also lists the same sequence under 3 other names. Lineage: Bacteria; Pseudomonadati; Bacteroidota; Bacteroidia; Bacteroidales.
GGAGAGAUGACCGAGUGGCUUAAGGUGCACGCUUGGAAAGCGUGUGUUCUGCAAAACGGAACCCAGGGUUCGAAUCCCUGUCUCUCCG